This is a long non-coding RNA of Phlebotomus papatasi, 425 nucleotides long. RefSeq lists it as uncharacterized. The transcript has 2 exons. The record is from RefSeq and is a predicted model, not a curated record. Lineage: Eukaryota; Metazoa; Arthropoda; Insecta; Diptera; Psychodidae.
GGUAUACCAGUGAAGAACUUGGAUGGGAAAUCCAAGUGAUUUAGGAUGAAUUUUUGCAAGCAGAAUGCGAAAAAUAUAUCAAAAUUAACAAGCUCGCGCAUUCACACAAUUCCUGGAAAAUUUUCUAUUUUCGAGUGGAAUUCUCUGACCGGAAGUGGAAAAAUAGGUAGAAGGUACAUCAGUGAGGGCUAUUUAUGAUGCAUCUAAAGGAUUCUGGUCAAUUUCAGGUCAGCAAGACGGAAAAACACGUUAAAAUCUGGGAGGUCGCGCACUUGCAUAAUUUGUGGGAAAUUUUCUAUUUUUGGGCGAAAAUAUCUCGCCGGAAGUGGAAAAUCGGUUUGGAAGUUCAUCAGUGAGGGCUACGAAUGCGAUAUUUAAGGGAUUCUGGCCGAUCUCAGACCAGCAGGACGUGGAAAAUCGGAAAA